GCAGAUUAUUGGCAAAGAAAAAUAUUCUGCCUAAUAACAAUGUCGCAUAUGAGAAGAAAACUUUCCUAUCCAGUUAUCCUAUGCUUCAACUGAUAUGUAGACCAUCGGAGAAGGUCAUGUAUUUAGCAGAGAUACACAUCUGUUUUAAAAAGAAAGAACUAAUUUAUUGCCCUCCAGACAAGAAUGAGUGUAAAGAAACAUUCAUCUAUCCAUCUAUAAACUGAUAAAGGAAAAAAAGAUGAUGAUUUAUCAUUAAUUUGAAGCGGUCCUCAGUUAGUAGCUUUAGCAAACCUAUAUAGCAAAGAAAUGCUUAAUGCCUGCCUAUAUUUUCCACAGAAUCGCUUUUCCAAGAAAUAAAUUACAGUAUGAUAUAAAUAUACACAUCCUGACCAUGGACUGUCAGCUAUCAGUAUGGAAGCCGAUGUUGAUGAACAUGAAUAAAAUAAAAUUAAAUUCUGAACUACA
Protopterus annectens (West African lungfish) is the source of this 465-nucleotide long non-coding RNA. RefSeq lists it as uncharacterized. NCBI's taxonomy places the organism in Eukaryota, Metazoa, Chordata, Ceratodontiformes, Protopteridae. The transcript is spliced from 3 exons. The record is from RefSeq and is a predicted model, not a curated record.